RNAcentral lists this ribosomal RNA (434 nucleotides) under uncultured bacterium. RNAcentral describes it as "bacterial SSU rRNA". It matches the Rfam family "Bacterial small subunit ribosomal RNA", at positions 355 to 786 of the family's 1533-position model. The record is from RNAcentral.
UGAGGAAUAUUGGUCAAUGGGCGAGAGCCUGAACCAGCCAAGUCGCGUGAAGGAUGAAGGAUCUAUGGUUUGUAAACUUCUUUUAUAUGGGAAUAAAGUGAGGAACGUGUUCCUUUUUGUAUGUACCAUAUGAAUAAGCAUCGGCUAACUCCGUGCCAGCAGCCGCGGUAAUACGGAGGAUCCGAGCGUUAUCCGGAUUUAUUGGGUUUAAAGGGAGCGUAGAUGGAUAUUUAAGUCAGUUGUGAAAGUUUGCGGCUCAACCGUAAAAUUGCAGUUGAUACUGGAUAUCUUGAGUGCAGUUGAGGCAGGCGGAAUUCGUGGUGUAGCGGUGAAAUGCUUAGAUAUCACGAAGAACUCCGAUUGCGAAGGCAGCCUGCUAAGCUGCAACUGACAUUGAGGCUCGAAAGUGUGGGUAUCAAGCAGGAUUAGAUACC